Long non-coding RNA from Mirounga angustirostris (Northern elephant seal), 1189 nucleotides. RefSeq lists it as uncharacterized. The transcript is spliced from 3 exons. The record is from RefSeq and is a predicted model, not a curated record. Lineage: Eukaryota; Metazoa; Chordata; Mammalia; Carnivora; Phocidae.
UUAAAAUAAUUUAUUUGGUUUCAGCUCCUUUUUAAAUCACAGCAAGUAAGAAAGCUGCAUAUUGUCUGCCACACUGUAGGCUCCAGGGCAGGUCAUAACCUCUGCAGGCAAAUUCAGGACCUGGCCCUUCACACCUGGGUGACUUCAGCUUUGAACCUGCACAUCAGUCCAUUCCUCCCCUGGCAACAAAGCUGUUGGCCAAUUAUCUCUGAAUAAGAAUUGUAUCGGAUCUUAAUUUUUAGUAACAAAUUCUGAUAGUUUGUGAAAAAACAAACCAAAACCAAAAAAAAAAAAAAAACCCAAAAAACAAAAAACACAAAAAACCCCCACAAACGAAAAUGAAAGAACAAUCCUUCUGUCUUUCUCAGACUGUUUCUUUCUAGAGCCAAGGGAUGACAUAACCCAUUCAACACGUACAAUGAAUGGAAACAUUAACACAUUAUUUAUGUUCUCAGCCUCUGUGAUGGUAUCUCCUUCAUCAAGAGGACUCACUCAACUGAGAUUGGACACUGUCUUCCAGCCCCUGGCUCCACAAAUCCAGGAAGGAAAAAUUUUCACAAAACUCUGAGAAUAUCUAGGAUGUUGUGGGAUUCUGGUGACGAGGCUAGGAAACAAGAGAUGGGUCCUGUGUUCUGCAGACUGAAGCCUAUGAGCAGACAGAUAGCAACGACUAGCUUACACUGAAGAUUUCUCUCUACCUCUAAGAGAAUGUAUGUUCAGUCGCCGCACCAUGUGAAAUACUACAAUUGGAACCUAUUCUACAUUCAAAUAAAUAAAUUAUUAAUACUCUCUGCUGCUGUUAAACAAGCAUCACAUUUGCGGCGUUGAAAUUCUGAUUUGUCAAGUAUUGGGGGAUGUAACUAUAUUAAACAAUGUGUCUAUGCGAGGGGGAAAAUAUUCUUUAGUUGGGGGAUCUUAAUCAGUUUCACGCUGAGCAAAAGAAAAUUGUAAACUAUGCAUUAAAAGAAGAUUUACUGAAAGUUAUUUUUGCUAGAUCCACUGCAUUCUAAUUCACGGCUACCCUUUUGCUUUCAAUGAUAAUAUACGUAAUCUUCCAGCCACAUUCAUGAGCAAAGUUUGAUGUGGAUUUACACUUGUGGAGCUACAUUACAAUGGGUAGAUUUAAGGUAUUAUAAAAUGAGUUUUUGGAUUUGUUACAGAGGUAUGGAGCCCCUCAGAUACAGGCAGA